RNAcentral lists this ribosomal RNA (440 nucleotides) under uncultured bacterium. RNAcentral describes it as "partial 16S ribosomal RNA". It matches the Rfam family "Bacterial small subunit ribosomal RNA", at positions 338 to 795 of the family's 1533-position model. The record is from RNAcentral.
CCUACGGGAGGCAGCAGUAGGGAAUAUUGCACAAUGGGGGAAACCCUGAUGCAGCAACGCCGCGUGGGGGAUGAAGGUUUUCGGAUUGUAAACUCCUUUUGUUAGGGAAGAUAAUGACGGUAUCUGACGAAGAAGCACCGGCUAACUCCGUGCCAGCAGCCGCGGUAAUACGGAGGGGGCAAGCGUUACUCGGAAUCACUGGGCGUAAAGAGCGCGUAGGCGGGAUAGCAAGUCAGAUGUGAAAUCCUAGGGCUUAACCAUAGAACUGCAUUUGAAACUGUUAUUCUAGAGUAUGGGAGAGGUAGGUGGAAUUCCUGGUGUAGGGGUAAAAUCCGUAGAGAUCAAGAGGAAUACUCAUGGCGAAGGCGACCUGCUAGAACAUAACUGACGCUGAUGCGCGAAAGCGUGGGGAGCAAACAGGAUUAGAUACCCGAGUAGUC